GGGUUCACUCUGGCAGCACAUGUGCUAAAAUUGGAACAUAGCAGGGAAGAUUAGCAGGGCCUCUGCACAAGGCUGACAUGCAAAUUUGUGCAGCAAGUCACGAAAGA
Small nuclear RNA from Sorex araneus (European shrew), 107 nucleotides. NCBI's taxonomy places the organism in Eukaryota, Metazoa, Chordata, Mammalia, Eulipotyphla, Soricidae. The record is from Ensembl.